UACGUAGGGUGCGAGCGUUGUCCGGAAUGAUUGGGCGUAAAGCGUCCGCAGGUGGCAGUUCAAGUCUGCUGUCAAAGACCGGGGCUUAACUUCGGAAAGGCAGUGGAAACUGAACAGCUAGAGUAUGGUAGGGGCAGAGGGAAUUCCUGGUGUAGCGGUGAAAUGCGUAGAUAUCAGGAGGAACACCUGCGGUGUAGACGGCUUACUGGACCAUAACUGACGCUGAGGCACGAAAGCGUGGGUAGCAAACAGG
This 253-nucleotide ribosomal RNA is filed under the name uncultured bacterium. RNAcentral describes it as "partial 16S ribosomal RNA". It matches the Rfam family "Bacterial small subunit ribosomal RNA", at positions 524 to 776 of the family's 1533-position model. The record is from RNAcentral.